Aphis gossypii (cotton aphid) is the source of this 1887-nucleotide long non-coding RNA. RefSeq lists it as uncharacterized. The transcript is spliced from 3 exons. The record is from RefSeq and is a predicted model, not a curated record. Lineage: Eukaryota; Metazoa; Arthropoda; Insecta; Hemiptera; Aphididae.
AAUAUGAUGUAUUUUUUAAGUACUUAAUGAUUUUUAACAUUCUUACCUCUAACUCAAAUGAAUUUAAUAAUUUAGUACUCUGGUCAUCAAUUGUUAUGUAGUUGGUAUAAUUAUUGUCUUUGCCAAAUACUCUGGAAUUUUCAAUAACAGCAGCCGUCAGUAUACAUUCAUCUUCUUUAACAAUAUCACUCAAACUCAACAAACUGUUUUCAUUUGCACUUUCUUCAGUGUUGCGGUUAGUUGUGAAUACUGAUGUAGAGUGUUUGCCCAGUAUGUACCAUCUUAAUCUAAGUCAUUCAAUAAUCUUCUUAAGGACAAGUUUGUCAUUAAAAUACCUUUUUGAAAUUGCAUUAAGGAUUUUUUUCCAUGUACCCGCAUUGACAAAAUAAACUUAUCCAUUCUAUCCAAUAAAUUGUUUUGAUCUACAAUACUCAUGCCAUAUGCCAUAGAGUUAUCUCCAACUAUAUUUUGGCUGUUAAUUCAAUAGUUUGAAUUUGUUAUUGAAUCCAUAAUAUUCCAUUACUUUUGAUACUGUUCUGGAGAAAAGUUGGGCUGCUGUCUUAACUUUUUGCCGCUGUGUACCACUAACAUUUAUAUGAAAAUCACUAACUUUAAAUUUAAAUUUCAUAUCAUUUUCACCUUUAUCUUGGAUUUUCAAUAGUUCUUCUAUUAAGAAUUUCCCUAUAUACUUAUCACCUUUGCAAAAAAAAAAAAAAUCAACUUAUACUCAAUGUUUUAAUAUUUUUAAGUUAAUCCAUACCAUUGUUAUUUUUCAGAAGGAAGACAUGGUCAAGAAAGUUGUUUCUAAUAAGUUUUAACAAAUGCGGGGCAUCAGCAAAAACAUGCAUUUUCCUAUCAGGCAUUAGAGGAUGAUUAAACGAGCUAUUUGUAUGAGAAACAUUCAUAGACUUCCAUAAACCCAUGUUAGUUGGACCCAUAUCACUUGUCACAGAUACGGCAGUAUAUCCAAUGCUAUAUAAGUUGGUGAUAAUCUCCAAUAAUAUGUCACUUAUCAUCGGUGUGUCAUAAUUAUAAUAAACAACUUGUUUCCAUGAUUUAAUAAUACCCCUGGCCAUUACUACUUGAACCGUUUUGUGUGGUCCAAUAACUUGCUCAGAUAUUUUAUCAUAACAGAUAUCAUGAGAUGUGUACACUUCAUCAAAUGAUAAACUUACUAGUUUUUCAUUUUCAUACAUAGAAAUGCCUAUAGUUUAAUUAAUAUUUUAUUGGACGAUUAAGUAGUGAAAUACUUAAGUUUUUAUUAGUAAUAGCCAGUAGAUAUUGGAUUAGUUUACUUACUUUUAGAUUUCAUUAAACCUAACACACCCAUUAAAACCCCUGGUUGAAUUGGAAAUUUUUGAGCCCAAGUUCGCAAAGUAGAUAGACCUAAAAUAAAUUUAAAUUAUGAUCAUAAUGGCAGUUGUAUAAGAAAUACUUCACAAACCUGGUAAUGGAUACUUCAAAGAUUCUCUUAAGUAUCUAUAAGCCUUUGGUGAUAUACUUCUUAAAGAAAUUGCUCUUGUAAUGUCAUCUAUCCCCCAUUUUAAUAUUUUAUUUCCAGGACUUAAGAAAUAAUUUAUUUGGGUGUGUGUAAAAAUAUGUGAAAAUAAAUUAGAAACUUUUUCUUUAAAAUUCAUUUUUAAUAUUUCAUUUUCUUCCUGUACUGCAGUUAAGCACUUUUUAGUUUCCUCAAGUUCUUUUUCAAUACUAAAAUAAAUGUUUUGAAUUAUAAAUAGAAAUUCCUUCAAGUAUAUACAGGUAUACAACACAGUAAGACACAUAAUAUUAGAACUUGGAAUACUUGCAUCUGCAUUAAAUAAAUUUUUAUGUUACCUCUUAUCGUUAUCAAUUAUAUUUAUGGAUUCAUUUGAUUUAAAGCUGACCAUG